Molecule: ribosomal RNA, 376 nt
Filed under: uncultured prokaryote
Description: bacterial SSU rRNA
Rfam family: Bacterial small subunit ribosomal RNA
Source: RNAcentral
UACAGAGGGUGCAAGCGUUAAUCGGAAUGACUGGGCGUAAAGCGCACGUAGGUGGAUAUUUAAGUCGGGUGUGAAACCCCCGGGCUCAACCUGGGAAUGGCAUUCGAUACUGGAUAUCUGGAGUACGAUAGAGGGUAGAGGAAUUUCUGGUGUAGCGGUGAAAUGCGUAGAUAUCAGAAGGAACAUCGGUGGCGAAGGCGUCUACCUGGAUUGAUACUGACACUGAGGAGCGAAAGCAUGGGUAGCAAACAGGAUUAGAUACCCUGGUAGUCCAUGCUGUAAACGAUGAGUACUAGCUGUUGGGUUGACUUCGGUUGAUUUAGUGGCGCAGCAAACGCGAUAAGUACUCCGCCUGGGGAAUACGGCCGCAAGGUUG